AAUCCUGGCUCAGGACGAACGCUGGCGGCGCGCCUAACACAUGCAAGUCGAACGGAGUCAAGAGGAGCUUGCUUUUCUUGACUUAGUGGCGAACGGGUGAGUAACGCGUGAGUAACCUGCCCUGGAGUGGGGGACAACAGUUGGAAACGACUGCUAAUACCGCAUAAGCCCACGGCCCGGCAUCGGGCUGCGGGAAAAGGNUUUAUUCGCUUCAGGAUGGACUCGCGUCCAAUUAGCUAGUUGGUGAGGUAACGG
RNAcentral lists this ribosomal RNA (255 nucleotides) under uncultured bacterium. RNAcentral describes it as "partial 16S ribosomal RNA". It matches the Rfam family "Bacterial small subunit ribosomal RNA", at positions 15 to 263 of the family's 1533-position model. The record is from RNAcentral.